GACGAACGCUGGCGGCGUGCUUAACACAUGCAAGUCGAACGGAAAGGCCCUGCUUUUGUGGGGUGCUCGAGUGGCGAACGGGUGAGUAACACGUGAGUAACCUGCCCUUGACUUUGUGAUAACUUCAGGAAACUGGGGCUAAUACCGGAUAGGAGCUCCUGCUGCAUGGUGGGGUUUGGAAAGUUUCGGCGGUUGGGGAUGGACUCGCGGCUUAUCAGCUUGUUUGUGGGGUAGUGGCUUACCAAGGCUUUGACGGGUAGCCGGCAUGAGAGGGUGACCGGGCACAAUGGGACUGAGAUACGGCCCAGGGUCCUACGGGAGGCAGCAGUGGGGAAUAUUGCACAAUGGGCGGAAGCCUGAUGCAGCAACGCAGCGUGCGGGAUGACGGCCUUCGGGUUGUAAACCGAUUUAGACUGAGAAGAAGCGUGAGUGACGGUAAUGGGUAAAGAAGCACCGGCUAACUACGUG
RNAcentral lists this ribosomal RNA (468 nucleotides) under uncultured bacterium. RNAcentral describes it as "partial 16S ribosomal RNA". It matches the Rfam family "Bacterial small subunit ribosomal RNA", at positions 28 to 507 of the family's 1533-position model. The record is from RNAcentral.